CCUGGCGGCACUAGCGCGGUGGUCCCACCUGACCCCAUGCCGAACUCAGAAGUGAAACGCCNGAAGUGAAACGCCGUAGCGCCGAUGGUAGUGUGGGGUCUCCCCAUGCGAGAGUAGGGAACUGCCAGGC
RNAcentral lists this ribosomal RNA (130 nucleotides) under Salmonella enterica subsp. enterica serovar Typhimurium. Lineage: Bacteria; Pseudomonadati; Pseudomonadota; Gammaproteobacteria; Enterobacterales; Enterobacteriaceae. The record is from RNAcentral.